RNAcentral lists this transfer RNA (85 nucleotides) under Xanthobacter flavus. Its description in RNAcentral is "tRNA-Arg". Lineage: Bacteria; Pseudomonadati; Pseudomonadota; Alphaproteobacteria; Hyphomicrobiales; Xanthobacteraceae. The record is from RNAcentral.
AUUGCAGUUAUGUCGGGCUCUGGCCUCCAAUAAGCUAAACUACGAAUCUGGGGGGGCGGGAGUUCGAAUCUCCCCCGGCGCGCCA